RNAcentral lists this non-coding RNA (147 nucleotides) under Nomascus leucogenys (northern white-cheeked gibbon). The record is from Rfam by way of RNAcentral. Lineage: Eukaryota; Metazoa; Chordata; Mammalia; Primates; Hylobatidae.
GCCAGGUAUGGUGGUGCAUGCCUGUAAUCCCAGCUACUGGGAGGCUGAGACAGGAGAAUUGCUUGAACCUGGGAGGCAGAGUUUGCAGUGAGCCGAGACCAUGCCACUGCACCCUAGCCUGGGUGACAGAGCAAUACUCCAUCUCAG